This 597-nucleotide ribosomal RNA is filed under the name Mycobacterium sp. RNAcentral's name for it is "bacterial SSU rRNA". It matches the Rfam family "Bacterial small subunit ribosomal RNA", at positions 280 to 886 of the family's 1533-position model. Lineage: Bacteria; Bacillati; Actinomycetota; Actinomycetes; Mycobacteriales; Mycobacteriaceae. The record is from RNAcentral.
CGGGUAGCCGGCCUGAGAGGGUGACCGGCCACACUGGGACUGAGAUACGGCCCAGACUCCUACGGGAGGCAGCAGUGGGGAAUAUUGCACAAUGGGCGCAAGCCUGAUGCAGCGACGCCGCGUGGGGGAUGACGGCCUUCGGGUUGUAAACCCCUUUCGCUCACGACGAAGCGCAAGUGACGGUAGUGAGAGAAGAAGGACCGGCCAACUACGUGCCAGCAGCCGCGGUAAUACGUAGGGUCCGAGCGUUGUCCGGAAUUACUGGGCGUAAAGAGCUCGUAGGUGGUUUGUCGCGUUGUUCGUGAAAACUCACAGCUUAACUGUGGGCGUGCGGGCGAUACGGGCAGACUGGAGUACUGCAGGGGAGACUGGAAUUCCUGGUGUAGCGGUGGAAUGCGCAGAUAUCAGGAGGAACACCGGUGGCGAAGGCGGGUCUCUGGGCAGUAACUGACGCUGAGGAGCGAAAGCGUGGGGAGCGAACAGGAUUAGAUACCCUGGUAGUCCACGCCGUAAACGGUGGGUACUAGGUGUGGGUUUCCUUCCUUGGGAUCCGUGCCGUAGCUAACGCAUUAAGUACCCCGCCUGGGGGAGUACGGA